This 253-nucleotide ribosomal RNA is filed under the name uncultured bacterium. RNAcentral's name for it is "partial 16S ribosomal RNA". It matches the Rfam family "Bacterial small subunit ribosomal RNA", at positions 524 to 776 of the family's 1533-position model. The record is from RNAcentral.
UACGAAGGGUGCUAGCGUUGUUCGGAAUCACUGGGCGUAAAGCGUGCGUAGGCGGCGAUACAAGUCAGAGGUGAAAUCCCAGAGCUUAACUCUGGAACUGCCUUUGAAACUGUAUUGCUAGAGUGUUGGAGGGGAUAGCGGAAUUUCUAAUGUAGCGGUGAAAUGCGUAGAUAUUAGAAGGAACACCGGCGGCGAAGGCGGCUAUCUGGACAACAACUGACGCUGAGGCACGAAAGCGUGGGGAUCAAACAGG